AUAAAGAUAAACGGAACAGCAGAGUAUAAAACAGGUUAAUCUCAGAGAGUUUCUGGUUAGUGCGAAGAAAUGAUAACGGUUUUAGAAGAUGGGCUGGGAGUUAUUCUUACUAGUUAUGGUAGGAACGGGAUGGAUGCCGAUAUUAAAUCCGGUGAGAUCCAGUUUGAUGCUGGGAACUAAGGUGGUAACGCGAGAGCACUCGUCCUUUAU
Molecule: non-coding RNA, 210 nt
Filed under: Fructilactobacillus florum
Lineage: Bacteria; Bacillati; Bacillota; Bacilli; Lactobacillales; Lactobacillaceae
Description: Lactobacillus florum T-box sequence
Rfam family: T-box leader
About the family: Uncharged tRNA acts as the effector for transcription antitermination of genes in the T-box leader family. T-boxes are found upstream of many aminoacyl-tRNA synthetase genes and some amino acid biosynthetic genes usually in Gram-positive bacteria.
Source: RNAcentral